This 794-nucleotide ribosomal RNA is filed under the name uncultured Pelagibacteraceae bacterium. Its description in RNAcentral is "bacterial SSU rRNA". It matches the Rfam family "Bacterial small subunit ribosomal RNA", at positions 45 to 887 of the family's 1533-position model. Lineage: Bacteria; Pseudomonadati; Pseudomonadota; Alphaproteobacteria; Candidatus Pelagibacterales; Candidatus Pelagibacteraceae. The record is from RNAcentral.
CGCCUUAUACAUGCAAGUCGAACGAAGUAUUUAUACUUAGUGGCAGACGGGUGAGUAACAUGUGGGUAUCUUCCCUUUGGUGAGGAAUAACACGAGGAAACUUGUGCUAAUACCUCAUAAGUCUUUACGGAGAAAGCUUUAUGCGCCAAUGGAUGAGCCCGCACUUGAUUAGUUUGUUGGUGGGGUAAUGGCCUACCAAGACUUUGAUCAAUAGCUGAUCUGAGAGGAUGAUCAGCCACAUUGGGACUGAGACACGGCCCAAACUCCUACGGGAGGCAGCAGUAGGGAAUAUUGCACAAUGGAGGAAACUCUGAUGCAGCGAUGCCGCGUGAGUGAAGAAGGCCUUUGGGUUGUAAAGCUCUUUCGUCGGGGAAGAAAAUGACUGUACCCGAAUAAGAAGGUCCGGCUAACUUCGUGCCAGCAGCCGCGGUAAUACGAAGGGACCUAGCGUAGUUCGGAAUUACUGGGCUUAAAGAGUUCGUAGGUGGUUAAAAAAGUUGGUUGUGAAAUCCCGGAGCUUAACUCCGGAACUGCAAUCAAAACUUUUUAGCUAGAGUAUGAUAGAGGAAAGCAGAAUUUCUAGUGUAGAGGUGAAAUUCGUAGAUAUUAGAAAGAAUACCAAUUGCGAAGGCAGCUUUCUGGAUCAUUACUGACGCUGAGGAACGAAAGCAUGGGUAGCGAAGAGGAUUAGAUACCCUCGUAGUCCAUGCCGUAAACGAUGUGUGUUAGACGUUGGAAAUUUAUUUUCAGUGUCGCAGCGAAAGCAAUAAACACACCGCCUGGGGAGUACGACC